UGAAUUAUAAUCUUAUUUUGUUGUAAGGAAAAUAUUUUUAUUUGUAAAGGUUGGUAUAUUAAUAUUGAAAAAUUUAUUUUAUGAUAGUGCAUUAGUACUGUAAAGGAAGGACUAAUAGAAAUGUUUAUGUAUAGAAGUGUUUAAUUUUCGUACCUUUAGUAUCAGGGAUGAAUUAUUAGGAAUAUGGACUUAUUUUUCCCGAAAGAGAAUAAGCUAUAUAAUAAUAUAUUAAUGGUGUAACAUAAUCAUUGGUUAUUUUUAUAUAAUUGUGACAUGUAAUUUGGAUUUUUAUAUUCUGGUUUUUUGAUUGUUAAGUUUAAUUUUUGACUUCGUUUGGUUUGUUUUAUUUUUAGGUUUUUGAAUAAUUGAAGUUAUUAUAGUAUUGGGGAUAAGCUUGAUAUUGGUAGCAUAAGGAGAAUGGUUUUUUAAAUAAGGGCUUAAAAGUAGCUUAGUGUGUUAUUACUAAUAUUUUGUUUUAUGUUGUUUUGUUUGUUUAUUGAUUGAAAUUAUUUAUUUUAUUAUGAAAUGGAUGUAAUACUGUUUAUAUGAGUAGAAAAUUUUAUUUAGCUGUUAGGAACUCGGCAAAUUAUGUGUAUUCAACUGUUUAACAAAAACAUUUCCUUUUUUAUUUUAUAAGGUAUUGCCUGCUCAGUGUUGUUAAUAAAUGGCCGCGGUAUUUUGACCGUGCGAGAGUAGCAUAAUAAAUAGUUCUUUGAUUGAGGGCUGGGAUGAAAGGUGAUAUGUGAUAUUGACUGUCUUGUAGUUAUUUUUUGAAUUUUACUUUUUAGUGAGAAGGCUUAAUAAAAUAAACUUAUUAGACGAGAAGACCCUAUAGAGCUUUAUUAAUAUUUUGGUCAUUGUAUUUGCUUUUAUUUGAAUUUUGAUUAUUUUAUUAAUUUUGUUGGGGCAAUGGUGAAAUAAUUAGAAAUUUUUAUUUGUUUGUUUUUGGUAUGUUGAUCCGGUAUUAUUGAUAAAAAGAUUAAGUUACCUUAGGGAUAACAGCGUGAUUGUCUUGGAAAGUUCUUAUUGAUGGGUGGGUUUGCGACCUCGAUGUUGGUUUAUUGAGUCUAUAAGGUGCAGUAGCUUUAUAAGAGAGUCUGUUCGACUUUUAAAUCUUUACAUGAUCUGAGUUCAGAUCGGCGUGAGCCAGAUCAGUUUCUAUCUGUAAGAAGAGGGAGUGCUGUAGUACGAAAGGACCCAGCAUUUUUAAUUAUUAUUU
This 1219-nucleotide ribosomal RNA is filed under the name Nothopuga sp. 1 LP-2008. RNAcentral describes it as "16S ribosomal RNA". The stretch from base 811 to 1169 matches the Rfam family "Bacterial large subunit ribosomal RNA", at positions 2072 to 2648 of the family's 2925-position model. The record is from RNAcentral. Lineage: Eukaryota; Metazoa; Arthropoda; Arachnida; Solifugae; Ammotrechidae.